RNAcentral lists this long non-coding RNA (2018 nucleotides) under Homo sapiens (human). RNAcentral describes it as "HSALNT0059587". Lineage: Eukaryota; Metazoa; Chordata; Mammalia; Primates; Hominidae. The record is from RNAcentral.
CAGAAAAUAUAUGUGUAAUAACUGAGAUAACAGGAAUAUGUAGUACAAACCAAGAACUAGAGGAAACCACAGAAGGCUUUGGGUAGUGUGGUUUUUGAAAGCAGUAUUGCAUGUAGAUUAAUGGAGAACAGAAGGAAUGACAUCCUUUUCAAGGGGCAUUGUAUGAACAAGGAGACAGGAGCAAGAAUGAGAAUGAGAAAGAGGUGCAAGAGGAUCUAAGAGGACCCAGCUAGAGAGAAACUCUGAGAGAGAAUCUGGUUCAGGAAGACCUGUGGCUGUGUCAGUGCAGGGGAAAAGGAACACUAGAAGGAUCCAGGUGGAAAUGACAUAGAAGAUAAUGACACUCCCAUGAAGUGGUGAAGCUAUAGCCACCACCUGUCCCUGUUGAUUAAAGAGCUCCACCUGCCUAGGCACAGCAUCCUCAGCUAGGAUUGGGGGUAGGCCACUGGGUUAGGACAAAACUUUGCAGGACUGACAUGUUAUAGGCCCCCAUGUAGUAUAUACUAGAUGUGCUGCAACAGGAACCCAGAAUCCACCUGCACCCACCUCAAUAUGGAUAGCACGUGUUGCCAACAUCUGCUUUGGCUCUUUCUUCAGCUGUUUUCACGUGUUUUCUCUUUGUAAAAAUGUUUUCCACCUAGCAGUGGACUACUCUUCCAGAUUUCCACCUUUUCACCUCCCUCCUGCCUCUAUAAACUUAGGACACCAACAUUGUAAGUUACUAGGCUUCUAAAUGUAAUGCAUAUGAGAAUCACCUGGGAGCUCUUUUUGAAAUGCAGACUCUAGAGCCCACCCUCAAGAGAUUGUAAUUUAAUGAAUCUAGGAAUGGGACUCAGGAAUCUGCACUGAACAGGCAUCCCAGCUGACUCUGGUGUGGGUGGUUCCCAGCCCAACUUACCAGAGCACUGCUAAGUUGAACCUAGCAGCAUAAUUAAUCCAUGCUAAAACCAAACUCAUAAAUUAACAUUUAUCAAGAAGCCUUUGAGAGCUUGGUUCUAUGAUUAUGUAUGAGUCUUAGGGCUCAUUUUUCCUAGGGCAUAAACUGAUACUAAGUCACACUGGGAGAGCCUAUGAUCCGUGUAUAUUUCUGGCAGGGCAGAAUUUUCUCUAUAUUGACAGGCACAGCAACAUUGAUUGUAUAACAUUACUCCACCCUGGAAUUUACUAUUAGUCAUAAAAACUGAGGCAACUCCAGUAUUGCUGGUUCAUUUGAUGAGUAUUCAGUGUGGGUAGGCCUCUACAACAACUUCUUUCUCCCCUAAAGGGCAAAAACGCAACUCAACUCACAAUCCAGGCUACUGAGCAGAGGUUUGAAUGACCCCUGAGCCCAUACAAGCUUCUCUACAUUGUUCUGAGAGCACCCAAAAGCCACUGGGAUUGUUGAGACCACUGGUUUCUUUGUCCUGAAGAGAAGAGAGAGGGAAAUGAUUGCUGCUACACUCACUUUGAAGUGAGAAAAGUUGCGGGUGGCUGAAAAUUUUACUCUGAAAAGAUGCUGGGUAGCUCUUUGUUCCUACAGCCCUGCAAACUAUGCUCCUGAUACAGAGUGGGGCAAGUGGGGCGGGAAAGUGCUGGGAAGGGAAAGGCGUAGUCCCUCGCUGGGGAUCCAGCCCCAGACCUGUGCCCACAGACCUUGGUGAGGAUGGGCAUUUCUGUUCUCAUGCCCAAAUAUUGCAUUUCCCACGACCACCCUGGGCUGCCAUACCCCUAUCUUGUGCCUAUAAAAACUCCAAGAUCCUAGCGGGCACACACACAAGCAGCUGGACAUCAAGAGGAACACACCAAUGGUUGAGGACACAAGCGGCUGGAAAUUGAGAGGAACACACCCGCGUAAGAGCACACCCACAGGCACUGACAGAUUUCGGCAGGCCAUCGACUGGUGGAACAAUGCAGAGUUUGGCUGGGGUGGUCGGAGAAGAGCCCAGCUGCCCGGAAGCCCGAUUGCAGGGGAAAACCACCUUCCCACUCCAGCCCCCUUCUGGCCUUCCCAUCUACCUCGCUGAGAGCUACCACUCAAU